CAUCCUGGCAUCACAGGCCAUCAUCGUUUUCAUUGUGGAGAGAUACAAGCACAAGUUGGAUACACAGGUUUGCUUCUGAGAUGUGGUACACAUUGGCCAAAGCAUGCUCAAAUGAUGAACUAGCUUUGGUUGUGAAUAUGCUGCUGAAAGAACUACAGCUAAACCCAGAUGUCACUGGAAAUUAUACCACACCUCUGGCUGCUGCCAUUGCUUUCUGCAAAUUGUUAUCUAUGCCUCAGUGUUUCGAACUGGCAGUAUGGGUCUACCCCCGACUGUUGAUGUCACUGCUUGUCCAGGUGCACUAUAAUAUCAAGCACCAGAUCACAUGGAAUUUGGGC
This 338-nucleotide long non-coding RNA is filed under the name Salvator merianae (Argentine black and white tegu). RNAcentral's name for it is "lncRNA (ENSSMRG00000017966.1)". Lineage: Eukaryota; Metazoa; Chordata; Lepidosauria; Squamata; Teiidae. The record is from RNAcentral.